Molecule: ribosomal RNA, 307 nt
Filed under: Staphylococcus aureus
Lineage: Bacteria; Bacillati; Bacillota; Bacilli; Caryophanales; Staphylococcaceae
Description: bacterial SSU rRNA
Rfam family: Bacterial small subunit ribosomal RNA
Source: RNAcentral
CGGUCCAGACUCCUACGGGAGGCAGCAGUAGGGAAUCUUCCGCAAUGGGCGAAAGCCUGACGGAGCAACGCCGCGUGAGUGAUGAAGGUCUUCGGAUCGUAAAACUCUGUUAUUAGGGAAGAACAUAUGUGUAAGUAACUGUGCACAUCUUGACGGUACCUAAUCAGAAAGCCACGGCUAACUACGUGCCAGCAGCCGCGGUAAUACGUAGGUGGCAAGCGUUAUCCGGAAUUAUUGGGCGUAAAGCGCGCGUAGGCGGUUUUUUAAGUCUGAUGUGAAAGCCCACGGCUCAACCGUGGAGGGUCAU